This 351-nucleotide ribosomal RNA is filed under the name uncultured bacterium. RNAcentral describes it as "bacterial SSU rRNA". It matches the Rfam family "Bacterial small subunit ribosomal RNA", at positions 8 to 350 of the family's 1533-position model. The record is from RNAcentral.
AGAGUUUGAUCAUGGCUCAGGAUGAACGCUAGCUACAGGCUUAACACAUGCAAGUCGAGGGGCAGCAUGUUGGUUGCUUGCAACCAACGAUGGCGACCGGCGCACGGGUGAGUAACGCGUAUCCAACCUACCCUUGUCCAUCGGAUAACCCGUCGAAAGGCGGCCUAAACACGAUAUGCGGUUCACAGCAGGCAUCUAACGUGAACGAAAUGUAAAAGGAGAAGGAUGGGGAUGCGUCUGAUUAGCUUGUUGGCGGGGUAACGGCCCACAAGGCUACGAUCAGUAGGGGUUCUGAGAGGAAGGUCCCCCCANAUUGGAACUGAGACACGGUCCAAACUCCUACGGGAGGCA